UACGAAGGGGGCUAGCGUUGCUCGGAAUCACUGGGCGUAAAGGGUGCGUAGGCGGGUCUUUAAGUUAGGGGUGAAAUCCUGGAGCUCAACUCCAGAACUGCCUUUGAUACUGAAGAUCUUGAGUUCGGGAGAGGUGAGUGGAACUGCGAGUGUAGAGGUGAAAUUCGUAGAUAUUCGCAAGAACACCAGUGGCGAAGGCGGCUCACUGGCCCGAUACUGACGCUGAGGCACGAAAGCGUGGGGAGCAAACAGG
This 253-nucleotide ribosomal RNA is filed under the name uncultured bacterium. RNAcentral describes it as "partial 16S ribosomal RNA". It matches the Rfam family "Bacterial small subunit ribosomal RNA", at positions 524 to 776 of the family's 1533-position model. The record is from RNAcentral.